Molecule: long non-coding RNA, 1295 nt
Organism: Mangifera indica (mango)
Lineage: Eukaryota; Viridiplantae; Streptophyta; Magnoliopsida; Sapindales; Anacardiaceae
Exons: 2
Source: RefSeq, a predicted model, not a curated record
UUAUAGAGCUUAAAAUCUGGACUAUACAUAAUGGUUGUAUUGACAAUUGUCGACCCGACCCGGUCUGACUGACCUAUUGCGAUGUCGACGCCGUGAAGUGACUCAGUACGCUCCCCCAAACCGCUUAUAUCGAAUCCGUGAAGUGACUCACUACACUUUCGCCUCCUUCGAAACUCUUCGCUGUCGCCCCAUCCCCCUCCCUCCAAACCUUCUCCUUUUUUUUUAUGAUCCUCUCCCACUCUUUUCCCUUCCCACUCCCUCUGGACCCCACCUGCUGGAAUCUCCUCUCUCGCCUCCUCCAGCCAGUCCCUAAUCCUCGUUGCGGCGACUCUCUCUGGCUCCCUCCAACUGCUCUCUGCCGGCCCUUUCGGGCUCGAGUUGCUGCACGCGGUGGACGGUAAGGGGUUUCACGAGGGAUCCAUUUGGGGAAGACGGAGGGUCUUCGAUGGGGAGGGUUUGGUGGGGUUUAACGCCGUUAAAUGGGCGUCUCCGAGUGAGUUUGUGACUGUUGGUGUGGAUUUGGACUUCAAUAGUGGGAUCUGAGAAGCCCUGGUGAGCCGGUUUCGCAGUUUAAAGGGAACUGGAUGUUAUAUGUAGUUUGGAGUGGGAAUAUCUAGCAAUCAUGAUAAGACCAUGAUGUUUCGUUUAUAAUUGGAUUUAAAGGGGGUUAACCCCUCAGCUUCUAAUCUGGUCAUGUUCCUCCUUCUCAGCAAUUUACCUAAGAAUCAGAGAGAUGCCCUGCCUCUUGAUGUAAUGUACUCCAUUUUGGCCUUGGACGAUGAAUGGAGCAAGUUCCUGACAGAUAACAACUAUGAUAUUCUUGAAAUGCAAGUAGGAUAAGCAGUGUUUUGAUAAUUUUAUAUCUGGUUUAUUCAUGAAGGCAGUUUAUGCGUUGAUUGAGUCGCAGACAGGCUGUUGCUGUGGGUAAUUUGAUUAUAUGUUUAAUGAUAAGUACAAUUCUAACCAUUUGAUUAUGGUUACUGAAUGAGAAACUUGAAUAGAAGUUCCAAAAGAUGAAAGUCAUGUAAUUGAGUUCUGUAUUUUCAAGAUUUGGUACCAUUCAAGAAGCAAUGAAUUAAAACCUAUACCGGAUCAGUUGAUUGAAUUGGUUGGAGCGAGGUCCGGUGGUUCAUUUGGUUUAUGUUAAUGUUAAUUGACUAGUGAUUGGAUUAGACAGAUCAUGUUGGGCUACCAUUUGCUGGAGAGUCUCUUUGUAUGGUGAUAAAUCUGUUAAAAGGUUAAAUUCCUUUCCUGUUAUAUUAAUUAUGUAUAAUAUACAUGGAAAAUUUUAAUUA